Pongo abelii (Sumatran orangutan) is the source of this 148-nucleotide unclassified non-coding RNA. It matches the Rfam family "Metazoan signal recognition particle RNA". Rfam says of the family: The signal recognition particle (SRP) is a universally conserved ribonucleoprotein. It is involved in the co-translational targeting of proteins to membranes. The eukaryotic SRP consists of a 300-nucleotide 7S RNA and six proteins: SRPs 72, 68, 54, 19, 14, and 9. The record is from Ensembl. Lineage: Eukaryota; Metazoa; Chordata; Mammalia; Primates; Hominidae.
GCUGGGUAUGGUGGCGCAUGCCUGUAGUCCCAGCUACUCAGGAGGCUGAGGCAGGAGAAUUGCUUGAACCUGGGAGGCUGAAGUUGCAGUGAGCCAAGAUUUUGCCACUGCAUUCCAGCCUGGGCAACAGAGUGAGACUCUUUCUCAA